ACCUGAAUACACCUGGGAGAGUGUCCCUUAUAAGCUCAUCAAGCAUACACGUGAGAGACUGGACGUAUGUAUCGUCAGAGGAGCGAAAAUCGUUCCAGCGUGGGCCCCUACCACCCCAAGAUGCACAUCUACACCUCAGCACCCUGUGGAUUGCAGCCCUGGUGGAUGGAGCAAGCACAGUACUCCAAGGCACCAUGUAGAGGAUUGCUA
Molecule: long non-coding RNA, 210 nt
Organism: Esox lucius (northern pike)
Lineage: Eukaryota; Metazoa; Chordata; Actinopteri; Esociformes; Esocidae
Exons: 3
Source: RefSeq, a predicted model, not a curated record